This 253-nucleotide ribosomal RNA is filed under the name uncultured bacterium. Its description in RNAcentral is "partial 16S ribosomal RNA". It matches the Rfam family "Bacterial small subunit ribosomal RNA", at positions 524 to 776 of the family's 1533-position model. The record is from RNAcentral.
UACGAAGGGGGCUAGCGUUGCUCGGAAUUACUGGGCGUAAAGCGCACGUAGGCGGUCUUUUAAGUCAGGGGUGAAAUCCCAAGGCUCAACCUUGGAACUGCCUUUGAUACUGGGAAUCUUGAGUCCGGGAGAGGUGAGUGGAACUGCGAGUGUAGAGGUGAAAUUCGUAGAUAUUCGCAAGAACACCAGUGGCGAAGGCGGCUCACUGGCCCGGAACUGACGCUGAGGCGCGAAAGCGUGGGGAGCAAACAGG